UGAAGAUUGGGGAUUGCGGGCGCGUCAGGAGAACUAUGCCAUUUUUGGGUCAGGACUGGAGAUCUCCUGGAUGGAGUUGGAUUAAGACAGAAGAUGGCUGGAAGAGUUGUGAAUCUUGUAGUCAGAAACUUGAAAGAGAGAAUAACCAUUGUAACAUCAGUCACAGCAUAUCCGCCCCUUUGAAUCAAUGGCUGCUAACACAAGCAUCCCUGCACAAAAAGGUUUUAUGACAGCAACCCUGGCUACCUUCUGUGGGGCACGGUGAGCGAGAACUAGUCAGCACCACCUUUUACCCCACCUAGUUGCUUUGCAGUACUGGGACCGCCCCGGCUUCCUACUCUGCCAUUUCGUUCAUCUUUCGUUCAUCUUCCUCGGACUUCUGUCCGUUCCUACAAAAAUGCAAAUC
Molecule: long non-coding RNA, 406 nt
Filed under: Pan troglodytes (chimpanzee)
Lineage: Eukaryota; Metazoa; Chordata; Mammalia; Primates; Hominidae
Description: long non-coding RNA NONPTRT011018
Source: RNAcentral